ACGGGGUUCAGUCCACCGCACUACUGCAGUGGGCUACACCACCUGCAACUCGUGAACAUCGAAACAAAUACCACGGAAUUGCAUCUUCCCCCGGAUUCGCGGUCAAUGCCCGCAGGGGGCGUCCGUGUUCAUUACUGUGACUAAAAAAGAGCGACCAAGGCAGUCCAACGACUUGAAUUGAAAGCAUGGGAUAACAAAGGAGCAGCCUACCGGCUUCCGUUUCGGCUUUUGUUGGUGUUGAAGUCUGUGGGAGAUUAUGGGCGUGCAGGACCGGUGUUUGGGGGUUCGCCCUCUGCCUUCCCCGCGUUGGGCUUGCCCAGCGUUGGGGCCUGCGCCGCUCAGGAAUGAAGGAGGGUUGGCUCGGGGGAAACGUACUUGAGCGUGAGAGGUGAAAUUCUUAGACCGCUCAAAGACGACUACAGCGAAGGCAUUCUCCAAGGAUACCUUCCUCAAUCAAGAACCAAAGUGCGGAGUCGAAGAUGAUUAGAGACCAUUGUAGUCC
This 502-nucleotide ribosomal RNA is filed under the name uncultured kinetoplastid. RNAcentral's name for it is "bacterial SSU rRNA". It matches the Rfam family "Eukaryotic small subunit ribosomal RNA", at positions 641 to 1026 of the family's 1831-position model. The record is from RNAcentral. Lineage: Eukaryota; Euglenozoa; Kinetoplastea.